GAAGUAUUCUUGAAAGACCCCUUCUUAGCCCAAUAGCCCUUUGUACCAAGAUGCAGAAACUGAAGCUCAGAGAAGUCCAGCAACUUGCACAAGACUGGGCACAGCUGAUGAGAGUGAAGGGGGGAUGAACUGAUUGUGCCAAAGAUGCGGUGUAUUCAGGGAAAAAAAUGUUCAUGUGAUCCAGAGAGCUGGUUUCCCUCCUGAAUUCAAUAUUCUCAUUAUCGUCUUUUACAUUGGAGCAUCAUAUUAAAAGAAAUGGGACUUCCACUCUCAAGCAAGAGGGAGUAACGUGAACCAGAUUUACACUCCUACAUGAAACCAUCAAAAUACAGGUGAUUAUGGAGGCUGAGAAGACCCACAAACUGCUUUCUACAAGCUGGAGACUCAGAAAAGCUGGUUGUGUAAUUCAGUCCAAGUCUGAAGGCCUGAGAACGAGGAGCUCCAAUGCCCGAUGUCCAAGGGCAGGAGAAGAUCAAUGUCCCUACUCAAACAGAGAGCAAAGUCACCCUUCCUCUGUUUUUUGUUCUUCUCAGGCCCUCAGUGGACUGGAUGAUGCCCACCCGCAUUGGCGAGAGCGAUCUUCUUUAUAAGUCUACCGAUUCGAAUGCUAUUCUCUUUCAGAAACACGCUCACAGACACACCCAGAAAUGUUAUUUUACCAGCUAUCCGGGCAUCCCUAGCUAUGUCAAGUUGACACAUAAAAUUAACCAUCACAGAUGGUUUCAUGAGUGUAUAAUACAUUAAAUGUAUGAAAUUGCACACUUUAAAUAUAUAGUUUAUUGUAUGUCAUUUAUAUCCCAUUACAUCUGAUAAAAGUCAUACAGUGAAAAAUCUAGAUGUGAGAUAUUAAGUAAAAAACAUAAACGGGAUACCAGUUGCCAUCUUUAUGUGGAUGACCAAUGUAUUAGUCAUUCAUGUAUAUAUUCCAUGUAUGUAUAUAUACAAUCUAUAUAGUCAAUGUAUAUAUGUUUAGCAAUGCAAAACAUUCAAACACAAAGCAAAACAAAAUAUCCAUUUCAGGGUUUUUCCCCCUGUUUUCAG
Equus caballus (horse) is the source of this 1041-nucleotide long non-coding RNA. Lineage: Eukaryota; Metazoa; Chordata; Mammalia; Perissodactyla; Equidae. The record is from Ensembl.